CGGACGAGAAAGACAGGGAAGAGAUAAUAGUAGCAGAAUUUCACAAAAAAAUCAAAGAGGCAUUUGAAGUCUUUGACCAUGAGUCGAAUAAUACAGUGGAUGUGAGAGAGAUUGGAACAAUUAUCAGGUCAUUAGGAUGCUGCCCUACAGAAGGAGAGCUGCAUGAUCUGAUUGCAGAGGAGGAGAAGCCAGGCGUAUCAGGGCCUUGGAUUUCCAGGUAGAGGAAGAAGAACCCACUGGAUACAUUCGAUUCGAAAAAUUUCUUCCGGUGAUGACAGAAAUACUACUAGAAAGAAAAUACAGACCAAUUCCAGAAGAUGUCCUUCUUCGAGCUUUUGAGGUUUUAGAUUCAGCUAAACGUGGGUUUCUUACUAAGGACGAGCUGAUCAAGUAUAUGACUGAAGAAGGUGAGCCUUUUUCUCAAGAGGAAAUGGAAGAAAUGUUGUCUGCUGCAAUUGAUCCAGAAUCAAAUUCAAUUAAUUACAAGGACUAUAUAACAAUGAUGGUGAUAGAUGAAAAUUAAAUGUUCUAAAGAUAAUUUCUGAUUGAAAGAACAAUUUUAGAAAUUGCUUGUUCUCGUUAAUUUCACAUCUUAUCUUAGGAUUCCUAUAUGUGAUAUUUAAUACCUUGUGACAUAACUAUUUUAAGACACUUUGUUUUUAAAGAUGAUCGUAACACUUUAAACCAAAUUUAGUAUGUCUAGCCUUACAGAAUGAUAAAUUACUAUUUAUUUAAAAACUAUUC
RNAcentral lists this small RNA (744 nucleotides) under Pan troglodytes (chimpanzee). RNAcentral describes it as "processed transcript". The record is from RNAcentral. Lineage: Eukaryota; Metazoa; Chordata; Mammalia; Primates; Hominidae.